Molecule: non-coding RNA, 27 nt
Filed under: Mus musculus (house mouse)
Lineage: Eukaryota; Metazoa; Chordata; Mammalia; Rodentia; Muridae
Source: RNAcentral
UGUGGUGAGUCAGGAUAUCAUGGCAGU